CAGUCGAGCGGUAGAGAGGUGCUUGCACCUCUUGAGAGCGGCGGACGGGUGAGUAAAGCCUAGGAAUCUGCCUGGUAGUGGGGGAUAACGCUCGGAAACGGACGCUAAUACCGCAUACGUCCUACGGGAGAAAGCAGGGGACCUUCGGGCCUUGCGCUAUCAGAUGAGCCUAGGUCGGAUUAGCUAGUUGGUGAGGUAAUGGCUCACCAAGGCGACGAUCCGUAACUGGUCUGAGAGGAUGAUCAGUCACACUGGAACUGAGACACGGUCCAGACUCCUACGGGAGGCAGCAGUGGGGAAUAUUGGACAAUGGGCGAAAGCCUGAUCCAGCCAUGCCGCGUGUGUGAAGAAGGUCUUCGGAUUGUAAAGCACUUUAAGUUGGGAGGAAGGGCAUUAACCUAAUACGUUAGUGUUUUGACGUUACCGACAGAAUAAGCACCGGCUAACUCUGUGCCAGCAGCCGCGGUAAUACAGAGGGUGCAAGCGUUAAUCGGAAUUACUGGGCGUAAAGCGCGCGUAGGUGGUUCGUUAAGUUGGAUGUGAAAUCCCCGGGCUCAACCUGGGAACUGCAUUCAAAACUGUCGAGCUAGAGUAUGGUAGAGGGUGGUGGAAUUUCCUGUGUAGCGGUGAAAUGCGUAGAUAUAGGAAG
This 649-nucleotide ribosomal RNA is filed under the name uncultured bacterium. RNAcentral describes it as "bacterial SSU rRNA". It matches the Rfam family "Bacterial small subunit ribosomal RNA", at positions 59 to 703 of the family's 1533-position model. The record is from RNAcentral.